RNAcentral lists this ribosomal RNA (381 nucleotides) under uncultured bacterium. RNAcentral's name for it is "bacterial SSU rRNA". It matches the Rfam family "Bacterial small subunit ribosomal RNA", at positions 28 to 409 of the family's 1533-position model. The record is from RNAcentral.
GAUUAACGCUAGCGGCAGGCCUAAUACAUGCAAGUUGUACGGGAUUAUUGGUAGCAAUACUGAUAUGAGAGUAGCGCACGGGUGCGUAACACGUAUGCAACCUACCUUUAACUGGGGAAUAGCUCACCGAAAGGUGAAUUAACACCGCAUAAAAUCACAGAAGGACAUCCUUUAAUGAUUAAAUCUCCGGAGGUUAAAGAUGGGCAUGCGUCCGAUUAGCUAGUGGCGGGGUAACAGCCCACCAAGGCAACGAUCGGUAGGGGUCUGAGAGGAUGAUCCCCCACACUGGUACUGAGACACGGACCAGACUCCUACGGGAGGCAGCAGUAAGGAAUAUUGGACAAUGGGGGCAACCUGAUCCAGCCAUGCCGCGUGAAGGAU